Molecule: long non-coding RNA, 847 nt
Organism: Cryptomeria japonica (Japanese cedar)
Lineage: Eukaryota; Viridiplantae; Streptophyta; Pinopsida; Cupressales; Cupressaceae
Exons: 3
Source: RefSeq, a predicted model, not a curated record
AUGAAUGAUUUUUCUGAUUUGUUUCCUGCAUUUUUGCCAGUUGAGAAUGGGGAGGGUGGAGAUUUAUAUGAUAUUAUAAGGCAACACUCAUUGGACUGCAAUAAAGGCUUCCAUAUUCUAAAGGAAAAUGAGCAUGGUGGGGAUGUGGAUAAGGAUAAGAAAAGUAUUAACAGUGGAACAGAGAGGACAACGAGAAGGCGUAUGAUAUCCUUCUUGUCAGAGCUAAAAUCUCUACUACCACCAGAGAAUGAGAAGAGAAAAAGCUCAACCAGUGAGCUUCUAUGGAAAGCUACAGACUACUUUUCCCAUCUAAAAGGAUAGGUGGAUGGGCUUAACAAGAAAAAGGCAGACAUGAAAAUGAAGGGAGUGCAGAAAAGCUGCUUUUACAAGUUAGAUGAGAAGGAUUUUCCAAUUGUGAAUGUAAGCCAUGUGUGUUUGGAUGUUUUAAUCACAACUGAUACAAGAAUAGAUGACAUGGUGUUGUCUAAGCUUAUAGCUUCUGUUGAAGAGCAAGGCUUGCAAGUGCUUACUGCAUCCUCUUUCACCACUCAUGAUAGAAUCACUCACACCCUUACUUGCAAGGUCUGCCAUGCAAGGAGCUUUCAUGGCAGCACAAAGCUUGUUGAGAGCAUCUGGAAUUUGAUGAGAGAAAGGAACAUUUCACCUUGAUAGAUGCCAAAGCUCUUUAAUUGUGCAUGGCUAAUAGAUUAGGUCAAAGAUUUUUCUUACACCCAUGUAAUUGGAACUCUGUAAAUGAAUAAAGUGUAUGUGAAGUUAUGUAGAAAUAUAAUAUUAAUUAUUGAUUUUAAUAUAAAACUAUAAUUUAUGUAUAAAUAUAUUGUAUGAA